Molecule: long non-coding RNA, 995 nt
Filed under: Solanum tuberosum (potato)
Lineage: Eukaryota; Viridiplantae; Streptophyta; Magnoliopsida; Solanales; Solanaceae
Description: long non-coding RNA (STUB_LNC009774)
Source: RNAcentral
UUGCUAAUGAUGUUGGUGUUUUGUUGGUAACUAGUUUGAACUGGGUGAGCUUCGUGGUAGUAAGAAUUGCAGCGACUUCCGUUGUGGUUCAAAGAAUAUGGAGCCAGGCCAAAGAUUGUCUAUUUCUGAUUAGAUCUAGUAGUAUCCAAUUCUGUGAGAGAUGGGUGAGCAACAAUUGGGUUUUGGUUUGCACCGACGAGCCUUUGGUUGUUGGAGCUCAUUGGUUCGCGGAGAAAUCAGAAAAUCUGGCAAAAUCUUGGGACUUUAGUCAUUUUUCUUAGUGAUUCCAAAAAUUGAUUUGCCGGCGUUGGUGCAAUUCCUGCCUGGACUGGUAUUUGCUGGUACAUGGUGGUUUGGUAUCUGGUUCUAUGUGAUGUCUAGUUAGAGCUUGGAGCUCAUGGUGGUGUUGAUUUGUAAAGCCUCGCUGGAGUUCAUGGUUGUUGUUGUUAGUUGCACUAGAGGAACUUGUACUAGUUCACCGGGGUUCGAGGUUUCCGUUUCUCAGAGCUAGAGAUCGAAGCUCGCAGCUUCAUGAUGGUCCUCCAGUGGAUAUUUUGCUGGUGACUGGUUUGGAGUUUUGAGUUGUAAGUUGGGGUGGACAUUUGGUACUAUGUUCAAGGAGAGGAGAAGGUGGUUGGGUGUUGUUCCUUGUAAAAGAAAAAGAAAGAUCAUUUGGUGUUGAAAUGGUAGUGUUCUGGUUGUAGUGGUUGUCAUUGGUUGCCACCAUAGUUACUAGUGGUGGUUGUGAGUGAGGAAGAACAGAGAGGGUGGGGCAUGAAGAAUAGCGAGGAGGGAAAGACGACCAUUUGUUGGAAGCUCUAAAAUGGUAGGUUUUUCUUUUCUUUUUUUUUUUCCGCUUUGAUUUCCCUUCUUAUUUUAGUUAAAACUAGUAUACGUGUCCGCGCGUUGCUCGGUUAAUUGAUAAAUGUAAUCAUAAAUAUUAAUUUAUUGACAAUUUAAAAUUUUAACUUAUUAAAAGAUAAUAUUGAAAAUUU